AUGAAAGAAAAAAUAGAAUAAUUGAAAUCCAUAGUUGUGAUGCAUUGUUGUGGAUCUCGAUCCAAAGGUUCUUUCUUGAUCUAGCUACAAGGAUGGGGCAGUAGGGAAAGAUAAAAUGUGGAACCUAAUAGAAAUUACUACUAGUUGGACAAAAAAAAUAUUUUUUCAAGCGAUUGUGUGAUAACUUUUUCUUCUUCUNNN
Molecule: long non-coding RNA, 201 nt
Filed under: Nicotiana benthamiana
Lineage: Eukaryota; Viridiplantae; Streptophyta; Magnoliopsida; Solanales; Solanaceae
Description: long non-coding RNA (NBEN_LNC016100)
Source: RNAcentral